UUUCGUUAACUUUUCAAAAAACGUUGAUGCUAGGUUAGGUUAGGGAAGGAGAGAAGUUAACUGCGCAAUUUCCUCAAAGUUGAAAUUCCGCAUUUUCCGUAAUAAAAGGAUUUCAGUGCAGUUUACGGUUCGUUGUCGGGCAGGGAAGUUAUGCAGAACAAUUUUUGAUUUAGAUUCAAUUCAAUUUCCACAGAAGAUGGCUAACAACAAAAUCGGUAGCAACAGCAGCAGCAAAAGUGAAGGAAAAUCAGAUGGAAAUGGUGAAGUCGCAGAGCCAAAAAAGACGUUAUAGCCUCCCGUCAAUUUAUUUGACUGGGCGCAAUCGUCUGUGCUAAGCUGGAUGGCUGGCCUUGGUGGCCCGGGAUCGUUGUUACUCUCUAAUGACUGUGGGCUGCCACCUCCGAGAAAACCAACUAGUUACUGGAUAUAUUUUGGUUCGGCGGCCAUCAAACCGUGUCCGAGAUUUAUUAAUUACAAAACGUUUUCCGACUUUAGUUCAAAAUUUUGAUUAACAUGCAUUCUUGGGAGUUAAAGCGGAUGCCGGCGGAAAAACUAAGCGGUUUUCUAGAUGACCGUUUGGCCAGCCUGUUAAAUCAAGCUUACAACAGCACCUCUAUGAAAGAGGAGUCUUGGAAGCCCUGCUGGCACUCUCCUUUAUUAGAGAUCAGAACAAAUUAGUUAAAGGCACGGCUGACAAAUUGAAGAAUUGGGCCAUCAAACUCUUGGCGUCGUCAAAGAGCAACAACAGUCGAGAUGUGGUCUUGGACGAGUUCCCGGAAUGGCUGCAACGUCCCAUGGAUCGGAUCAAAGACAUCAAUACCAAGUUGAAGAGGAUCGCCAGUGAGAUUUUCGUUUCUUUAUUAGAUUUCUUCAGAUGAAACCGAUCAGCACAUUUGACAUGAAGGAUGCUCAAGGCUCCGCCAAACAUCGUCUGGUGUUCGUGGACUAACAUUCCAUAACUGAAUUUCAAUCCGCAAUUGGACGAGCAAGUCAUCAACAACGACCAUUCAGUUCGUCCAUUUCUUGUCUUCCGCUCAGCCGAGAGCCAUUUUUCAUCAAAUAUCCUUGGAUUCUUGAACAUAUCGUGGCCAUAAACCAACCUCUGCCAGGCAACUGGCAGGAGAAACACGACCGGAUGCUGUUUCAGCGCGAUACUCGAAGCAAGACGAAAACAGUUAAAGCUCCAGUCCAUUUGGAGCAUUACUCGAUCGUCCAGCUGACCUAGAAAACGGCCAAGAAGAAGAAGAAAUUGAGCAGCGAUCUCCGCUCGAGUUGGAAACUUUGCGAAGCCGUCGGCAGUGCUGACAAGGACAGCGACGGAAUUAGUGACGAAACGUGCGACUUUUCGCUACUCUGACGGAUCAAGCCACUUACGCCCGCCCCGAGCCGUUUCCGGAGUAUGUGUCGCAUUUCAAAAAAGCUGAAGUGCAAGAACGAUUACAUAAUCGCAGUUUAUCAGCGUCGUUGUCCGUUGUCGAUUCACAUUUUUCAACCGAUGUUGAAGUUGGUCCGUGUCGUUGGCCCGAAAUAAGCCGUGGAUUUUUAUUUACUCUUCCAUUCAGUACGUUUCUCACCUUGUUUUCUUUUUUUAUGUAAUCAGGAAUGUAAACUAUAUUUAUCGUGACUGUUCCUGAACAAAGAAUACAAUUUGUUGGUGGAAAAA
Daphnia pulex (common water flea) is the source of this 1663-nucleotide long non-coding RNA. RefSeq lists it as uncharacterized. The transcript is spliced from 6 exons. Lineage: Eukaryota; Metazoa; Arthropoda; Branchiopoda; Diplostraca; Daphniidae. The record is from RefSeq and is a predicted model, not a curated record.